GCGAACAGGAUUAGAUAGCCUGGUAGUCCACGCCGUAAACGGUGGGCGCUAGUUGUGGGAACCUUCCACGGUUUCUGCGACGCAGCUAACGCAUUAAGCGCCCCGCCUGGGGAGUACGAUCGCAAGAUUAAAACUCAAAGGAAUUGACGGGGCCCCGCACAAGCAGCGGAGCAUGCGGCUUAAUUCGACGCAACGCGAAGAACCUUACCAAGGCUUGACAUAUACAGGAAUACGGCAGAGAUGUCGUAGCGGUAAAACGUCUGUAUACAGGUGGUGCAUGGUUGUCGUCAGCUCGUGUCGUGAGAUGUUGGGUUAAGUCCCGCAACGAGCGCAACCCUCGUUCUGUGUUGCCAGCAUUUAGUUGGGGACUCACAGGAGACUGCCGGGGUUAACUCGGAGGAAGGUGGGGAUGACGUCAAAUCAUCAUGCCCCUUAUGUCUUGGGCUGCACGCAUGCUACAAUGGCUGGUACAAAGGGCUGCAAUACUGCAAAGUGGAGCGAAUCCCAAAAAGCCAGUC
RNAcentral lists this ribosomal RNA (518 nucleotides) under uncultured bacterium. RNAcentral's name for it is "bacterial SSU rRNA". It matches the Rfam family "Bacterial small subunit ribosomal RNA", at positions 768 to 1287 of the family's 1533-position model. The record is from RNAcentral.